CAGUAGCCGCGGGAAUACGUAUGUGGCAAGCGUUGUCCGGAAUUAUUGGGCGUAAAGGGCUCGCAGGCGGUUUCUUAAGUCUGAUGUGAAAGCCCCCGGCUCAACCGGGGAGGGUCAUUGGAAACUGGGAAACUUGAGUGCAGAAGAGGAGAGUGGAAUUCCACGUGUAGCGGUGAAAUGCGUAGAGAUGUGGAGGAACACCAGUGGCGAAGGCGACUCUCUGGUCUGUAACUGACGCUGAGGAGCGAAAGCGUGGGGAGCGAACAGGAUUAGAUACCCCGGUAGUCCCUGUCUCUUAUAC
RNAcentral lists this ribosomal RNA (301 nucleotides) under uncultured bacterium. RNAcentral's name for it is "partial 16S ribosomal RNA". It matches the Rfam family "Bacterial small subunit ribosomal RNA", at positions 509 to 807 of the family's 1533-position model. The record is from RNAcentral.